CGGUGCCCGGAGGUCCCCCACGGGGCUGCCGGCGGGGAAGGGCGGAGCGCAGGUCCCCGGCCCCGGCCCGAGCCCCCAGGGCACCCGUGGGAGAACCCCGCUGGGUCGCCGUGUGACCUCAGGGUAGGCGCUGGCCCUCCCUGAGCCACCGUCUCCUGCCCGGAUCCCUGGGAGCCCCGUGUGUGGACCUCCCCAGAGAACGCAUACACCAGAGUGGUCUAAGAAUCACACUGACAUGAGACAGAUGAACAGAAACCAAUCCCAUCUAAUUCCGUGCCUGCUGGAACCCCACAUACAGAGAGGUUCAAAGAAAAGGACAGAUUCUUUGGUUGCUCUGCAAGCCUCAGCUGGAAGAGACCUGGAGACCAUCAUGGGAGCAGCCUCACUGGCCAGGCAGCUUUCGUGUGCUGGCGAGGGCCUCCAACCCUGCCUGGAGUGGGUGCUUCAGUGGGACUCUGGCCUGGGGAUGGGCGGACCCCUGCCCAUUCCCGACUCCUCUCUGCUGUCCCCUACCCCCCCACAUACACCGCAUUCCUCAACUUACUGGACAUUUCUCUGGACUCACUUGGGUGGAGAUGGCAUGUUGGUCUCAAGGACCCCGUGGGAAGCAUAGGACAGGGACAGAUGUCCCAGAAGGAGAGGGAGCACUUCUGCAGCCCCCUCCCUCCCUGGCCCUGCCACUGAGGGACCUCCCUCCUCCCUCCUCCCUCUCCCCAGGGACCUCACUUGCUCCCUCCAGGGCCUGCUCUGGAAGUUACCACAGGGCCCCUUGUAUCCCCCUGCAGCCAGCCAUCAGCCAGGAGAACUUGUUAUCCUUCUUCUCUUCCUUUCCUUUCCUCUCCUCCUAUAAAAACACCCUCAAUCCCAGGAAAAGUCCCUUUCACACCCCCUCCUCUCACCAAAGCAGCCCAGGUGCCUGAUCUCGGGAACCUCCCCUUCCUCUUUCCUCCUCUCUCCAUUCCUGCACGCCCUGGGCAGCAGCCCAAAGUCAAAGGUGCACCGAUGCCCCAGAGCACUGCCCUUCUCCCAACAACAGUCCUAGUUACCUUGAUAACCAGAGACCUCUGGGCAGCAAGGAGCCUGAUGGGCUUCCCACUGCAGCCUCUCUUGAGGCCUGGAUCGUCAGGAUGUAUGGUUCAGCUCCCCCACAUUCAUCAUCAUUACUCUUCUUCACCUGUCAGUGUCAGGGUCUUCUCUAAUGAAACUUCCGGCUGACACUGCCCAUCAGGGAGCACCAUUCCCCCACCCAGAACAGAUCAUCUGACGGGGGAACAUCCCCCAACUUCUGACCUACUCCCCCACCCUGUGUCGUCCAUAGUACAUCUGGCAUUUGUCACCACCACCCCCCCACAGCUGGCAAGAGAGGACCCCCCUCUCAGGGACAGGGCUCAUCCCAGGAGCUACAUGGUGGUGGGAGUCAGAGGCCCAGCGUAGAAAGGUUUCCCAAUAAUCCAGGUCCCUGACCAGUGUGAGCAGAGGUGAGUGGGGCUUGGAGACACUGCAGGAAUAUGAGGCCCAGGAGCCCUGCAAGCCCCAAAGGGGAGGAGCUUUUAUGAUGACAGGGAGAAAAGCAGCCUGUGAGGCCUAGCACCUGUCCCCAGUGGGUCAGCCAGAGCCAUGAGAGGAAAGGGACAGUUGCUACAUUAUCCUGGUUGGGGCCCAACAAGAAAGUCUGAGCCUGCUGUGGGGGCCCAGGCAGCUGAGGGUCACACCGUUCCCAUAUGAGACACCCCCAGCCGCAAGCAGGCAGUGACAUGAGGCCACUGCUCCCUAGUCCCUUGGAUCUGGUCAUGGCUCUCCCCUCACUUCAGGGGCCUCUCAACUUCCCCUGGCUGCCAUACCAGCUCCCUCUUUCCCAGUUCAUUCUCACUGGUGCUCUAGUUCAGAAUGCCUUCUCCCUCCCUUCACCUCAACUCAGGAAGGCCCAGCCCCCUGGAGCUUGAUGGGUUGGCCCCAGGCCCUCAGACCCACUCUGGCCCUGCUGUCCUCUGACCUUGGCUCUAAAGGCCACUCACACGCAUCAAGCCAGAGCCCAUAUUGCCUCCUGGAGUCUUAUCCUUAUGACAAGUCCAGAUGGGGGCAUCCUGAGGGCGAAGACCUUGUGACCCACCCCAGUACCUCACAUCCUGAGAAUUAUCUCCACAAACCUCCAGGGGGCCAAAUGAAAACAUGGGCCUUGGGGUCCUGCAAACUAAAGGUAAAACUCUGGGUCAGCCCUUUAUUUAUUUAUUUUUUAAGGAUUUUAUUUAUUUAUUCAUGAUUGACACAGAGAGAGGCAGAGACAUAGGCAGAGGGAGAAGCAGGCUCCCUCUGGGGAGCCCAAUGUGGG
Molecule: long non-coding RNA, 2329 nt
Organism: Canis lupus familiaris (dog)
Lineage: Eukaryota; Metazoa; Chordata; Mammalia; Carnivora; Canidae
Exons: 3
Source: RefSeq, a predicted model, not a curated record